RNAcentral lists this transfer RNA (62 nucleotides) under Eisenia nordenskioldi pallida. RNAcentral describes it as "tRNA-Asn". Lineage: Eukaryota; Metazoa; Annelida; Clitellata; Crassiclitellata; Lumbricidae. The record is from RNAcentral.
UAAGUAAAAGCCAAAGGCACCUAUUUGUUAAUUAGGCCCAUGCUAACUUUUAGCUUACUUAG